AACAAUAAACGUAUGUUUCUUCCCAUAAAGCUCGGGUAUAGAGCUUAUACUCAAACAAAAAUAUUAAAAAAAAAACAGGAAAGUUAACAUAAAAAUAUGAGAUAACAAAGAAAUGAGAAUAAAUAAAAUAAAAAAUAAAAUAAACAAACAAACAAACAAACAAAUCAAACAACCCUGGAACGAAAGGGUAGGCUUAAGUCUCUUUAGGAGAACUCCCCAACAAAGUCGUCAGCUGCCACAUCUCGAAAAAAUACGACCUC
This 260-nucleotide long non-coding RNA is filed under the name Lathyrus oleraceus (garden pea). RNAcentral's name for it is "Pisum sativum (pea) long non-coding RNA (PSAT_LNC001379)". Lineage: Eukaryota; Viridiplantae; Streptophyta; Magnoliopsida; Fabales; Fabaceae. The record is from RNAcentral.